RNAcentral lists this ribosomal RNA (497 nucleotides) under uncultured bacterium. Its description in RNAcentral is "partial 16S ribosomal RNA". It matches the Rfam family "Bacterial small subunit ribosomal RNA", at positions 28 to 507 of the family's 1533-position model. The record is from RNAcentral.
GAUGAACGCUGGCGGCGUGCCUAAUACAUGCAAGUCGAGCGAACGGACGAGAAGCUUGCUUCUCUGAUGUUAGCGGCGGACGGGUGAGUAACACGUGGAUAACCUACCUAUAAGACUGGGAUAACUUCGGGAAACCGGAGCUAAUACCGGAUAAUAUUUUUAACCGCAUGGUUCCAAAGUGAAAGACGGUCUUGCUGUCACUUAUAGAUGGAUCCGCGCUGCAUUAGCUAGUUGGUAAGGUAACGGCUUACCAAGGCAACGAUGCAUAGCCGACCUGAGAGGGUGAUCGGCCACACUGGAACUGAGACACGGUCCAGACUCCUACGGGAGGCAGCAGUAGGGAAUCUUCCGCAAUGGGCGAAAGCCUGACGGAGCAACGCCGCGUGAGUGAUGAAGGUCUUCGGAUCGUAAAACUCUGUUAUUAGGGAAGAACAUAUGUGUAAGUAACUGUGCACAUCUUGACGGUACCUAAUCAGAAAGCCACGGCUAACUACGUG